This 390-nucleotide ribosomal RNA is filed under the name uncultured soil bacterium. RNAcentral's name for it is "bacterial SSU rRNA". It matches the Rfam family "Bacterial small subunit ribosomal RNA", at positions 26 to 404 of the family's 1533-position model. The record is from RNAcentral.
AGAUUGAACGCUGGCGGCAGGCCUAACACAUGCAAGUCGAGCGGCAGCACGGGUACUUGUACCUGGUGGCGAGCGGCGGACGGGUGAGUAAUGCCUAGGAAUCUGCCUGGUAGUGGAGGAUAACGCUCGGAAACGGACGCUAAUACCGCAUACGUCCUACGGGAGAAAGCGAGGGGACCUUCGGGCCUUGCGCUAUCAGAUGAGCCUAGGUCGGAUUAGCUAGUUGGUGGGUAAUGGCUCACCAAGGCGACGAUCCGUAACUGGUCUGAGAGGAUGAUCAGUCACACUGGAACUGAGACACGGUCCAGACUCGUACGGGAGCAGCGAGGUAGGGAAUAGUUGGACAAGUGGGACGAAAGCCGUAGACUCCGAGACCCAUCGGCCGCGGUU